Molecule: long non-coding RNA, 1314 nt
Organism: Chrysolophus pictus (golden pheasant)
Lineage: Eukaryota; Metazoa; Chordata; Aves; Galliformes; Phasianidae
Source: Ensembl
CCGGCUGAGCCACGGCUGCAGGGACUCUGCCCCCGCCGUGCCGGGGAGCGGCCCGUCCUCGCUACGGGAGGAAACGCCGCUCACCUGCGAGAAGCCGGGGUGGAGGUUGGGGAUUCUUUGCCUCGCCUCUGGUCCGAGACCGGCGGGACUGGGGCGCUGGGGAAGAUCUGCCCGCUCCCGAUUGCCAAACUGCUAAGUGAGAUAAUGACAAGAGGAAAAGGAUUGCCGAAUGGUUUGGGUGGGGACAGGUGAUUUCAGGGGUAAAUAUGCACGGAGCGGUUGGGCAAGGAGAGGUGGGGGAGCCGAUAGCCGCCUGCAGAUGUUUGGGAAAGGUAAUCCCCCGGCCGGGGCGGGGCUUGCUCGGAGCAAAAAAGCAUAAUGAAGAGCAAUGGGAUUAAACGAGUGAGAGGUACGCGUUUAGUGAGAUUAUUGGGCGGCAGACCCCCAGACCCCUCCCUGCCGCUGGAUCAGUAAAACAGAUCAUUCGGUUCGCUGGCUGCAAGAGUGUCUGCCCCCCCGCGCAGACACCUUUGCUUAGCCCGGGUGGGGCUCCUUAGCCCUGUGGUUUAAGAGCCUUUGCCCCUCUGUAGGAGCAGGGGAGCCAGGCAGCACGCCUCAGCGCUGGCCGGGUGGCUGCCAUCGCACGGACAGCAGGUAGGUGGUCACCAGUACCACGGCCUGGGGCAGCCUUCUGGCGUGCCUGAUAUGUUCCUGCAUUCCAGUCCCGUAUUCCUAUCAGCUCAGAGAUUUUACAGCCUUUAAAGUCUUUAGUAAGUUUCUUCAAAAAUGAAACGCGCUGCUGUGAACAUGCCUAUGCCAGCUCUGAAUUGGAGCCGGAGUCGUGUCGCUUUGAAGCCGGUGCUGUUGAUGCCUUCUCCAGACGAAACGCCCAAACAAGGCAGUUACCACCGGAACAGAGCAAGACAACUUGUUUAUCAGACAGAGGAAUGCUCCUCAGCAGCACAGGGCAGGAGGAAGAGGGAGCUGCCGUCUCCAGGCCCAGCGUGGGCAGUUCAGAGAUGGUCUGCAUUGUUCUACAUCAGGAUAACAAGGCGCUUCCGCAGCCCCUUUCCUGUGGGAAUCCCAACAGGAAAUGUGAUUUCCACUCUUUCCCAGAGCUGCUGCUGGGCUCCCUGUCUCAGCCGCUGUCACAAGACACAGCAGUUUGUGAGAUCGCUGUGGUCUGAACGGAGCUGCCUGCUCAAAACAUUGGGUUCCCAUCGCCCACAGCGGGCCCAAGAGGCAGAGGGCUGUUUGUGCCACACUCUGCAUGAAAAGCACUUUCUGUGGGCUGGAACAGAUCACACGCUUUGA